GAUGAACGCUGGCGGCGUGCCUAAUACAUGCAAGUCGAGCGAACGGACGAGAAGCGUGCUUCUCUGAUGUUAGCGGCGGACGGGUGAGUAACACGUGGAUAACCUACCUAUAAGACUGGGAUAACUUCGGGAAACCGGGGCUAAUACCGGAUAAUAUUUUGAACCGCAUGGUUCAAAAGUGAAAGACGGUCUUGCUGUCACUUAUAGAUGGAUCCGCGCUGCAUUAGCUAGUUGGUAAGGUAACGGCUUACCAAGGCAACGAUGCAUAGCCGACCUGAGAGGGUGAUCGGCCACACUGGAACUGAGACACGGUCCAGACUCCUACGGGAGGCAGCAGUAGGGAAUCUUCCGCAAUGGGCGAAAGCCUGACGGAGCAACGCCGCGUGAGUGAUGAAGGUCUUCGGAUCGUAAAACUCUGUUAUUAGGGAAGAACAUAUGUGUAAGUAACUGUGCACAUCUUGACGGUACCUAAUCAGAAAGCCACGGCUAACUACGUG
This 497-nucleotide ribosomal RNA is filed under the name uncultured bacterium. RNAcentral describes it as "partial 16S ribosomal RNA". It matches the Rfam family "Bacterial small subunit ribosomal RNA", at positions 28 to 507 of the family's 1533-position model. The record is from RNAcentral.